AUUGAACGCUGGCGGCAUGCCUUACACAUGCAAGUCGAACGGCAGCACGGUUGCUUGCUCCUGGUGGCGAGUGGCGGACGGGUGCGUGAUACAUCUGCACAUGUCCUUAAUUUGUGGAGAGCCCGAAGGAAGCCGGAUUAAUACCACAUACGAUCUACGCCUGCAAGUGGGAGCCCUGGAGGCCUCGAGCUUUAGGGUUCGCCGAUGCCGAUGUCGGAUUAGCUAGUUGGCGGGGUAAAGGCCCACCAAGGCGACGAUCCGUAGCUGGUCUGAGAGGAUGAUCAGCCACACUGGAACUGAGACACGGUCCAGACUCCUACGGGAGGCAGCAGUGGGGAAUAUUGGACAAUGGGCGAAAGCCUGAUCCAGCAAUGCCGCGUGUGUGAAGAAGGCCUUCGGGUUGUAAAGCACUUUUGUUCGGAAAGAAAACCUUGGCCCUAAUACGGUCGGGUGAUGACGGUACCGGAAGAAUAAGCACCGGCUAACUACGUG
RNAcentral lists this ribosomal RNA (492 nucleotides) under uncultured bacterium. Its description in RNAcentral is "partial 16S ribosomal RNA". It matches the Rfam family "Bacterial small subunit ribosomal RNA", at positions 30 to 507 of the family's 1533-position model. The record is from RNAcentral.